AGAGUUGAUCAUGGCUCAGGAUGAACGCUGGCGGUGUGCCUAAUACAUGCAAGUCGAUCGGGCGUAGCAAUACGUCAGAGGCGUACGGGUGAGUAACACGUAGGUAACCUACCUUUAAGACUGGGAUACCCAGACGAAAGUUUGGCUAAUACCGGAUAACAACAUUUGAGACAUCUCUUUUGUUUGAAAGGCGCUGCAAGGCGCCACUUUUAGAUGGACCUGCGUCGCAUUAGCUAGUUGGUGAGAUAAAAGCCCACCAAGGCUGGGAUGCGUAGCCGAUCUGAGAGGAUGACCGGCCACAAUGGGACUGAGACACGGCCCAUACUCCUACGGGAGGCAGCAGUAGGGAGUUUUCGGCAAUGGGGAAACCCUGACCGAGCAACACCGCGUGAGUGAUGAAGGUCUUCGGAUCGUAAAGCUCUGUUACGAGGGACGAAUGAUCGCUUUAGGAAAUGAGAGCGGUUUGACGGUACCUCGCCAGAAAGCGACGGCUAACUACGUGCCAGCAGCCGC
Molecule: ribosomal RNA, 513 nt
Filed under: uncultured bacterium
Lineage: Bacteria
Description: bacterial SSU rRNA
Rfam family: Bacterial small subunit ribosomal RNA
Source: RNAcentral